Molecule: ribosomal RNA, 405 nt
Filed under: Ulpius sp. CW-2009
Lineage: Eukaryota; Metazoa; Arthropoda; Insecta; Hemiptera; Reduviidae
Description: eukaryotic LSU rRNA
Rfam family: Eukaryotic large subunit ribosomal RNA
Source: RNAcentral
CUUGAAACACGGACCAAGGAGUUUAUCGUGUACGCAAGUCAUUGGGUGAAUAAAACCCAAAGGCGAAAUGAAAGUAAAGAGUUUAGUUAAUAAUAAUUUUUUAUUAUUGCUGUCUUAAGGGAAGAUGAAAAUUUAAGUAUUAAUAUAUUUAUAUAAUGGUACUAUAAAUUUUUCGCACUCCCGGGGCGCUUGUUUCACGCUUUGCGUGUCAAUGCGCACCUAGAGCGUACACGCUGAUACCCGAAAGAUGGUGAACUAUGCCUGGCCAGGACGAAGCCAGGGGAAACCCUGGUGGAGGUCCGCAGCGAUUCUGACGUGCAAAUCGAUCGUCGGAGCUGGGUAUAGGGGCGAAAGACCAAUCGAACCAUCUAGUAGCUGGUUCCCUCUGAAGUUUCCCUCAGGAUA